This 301-nucleotide ribosomal RNA is filed under the name uncultured bacterium. RNAcentral's name for it is "partial 16S ribosomal RNA". It matches the Rfam family "Bacterial small subunit ribosomal RNA", at positions 509 to 809 of the family's 1533-position model. The record is from RNAcentral.
CAGUCGCCGCGGUAAUACGAAGGGUGCAAGCGUUAAUCGGAAUUACUGGGCGUAAAGCGUGCGUAGGCGGUUUGUUAAGUCUGUUGUGAAAUCCCCGGGCUCAACCUGGGAAUGGCAAUGGAUACUGGCAAGCUAGAGUGUGUCAGAGGAUGGUGGAAUUCCCGGUGUAGCGGUGAAAUGCGUAGAGAUCGGGAGGAACAUCAGUGGCGAAGGCGGCCAUCUGGGACAACACUGACGCUGAGGCACGAAAGCGUGGGUAGCAAACAGGAUUAGAUACCCCAGUAGUCCCUGUCUCUUAUAA